This 395-nucleotide ribosomal RNA is filed under the name uncultured bacterium. Its description in RNAcentral is "bacterial SSU rRNA". It matches the Rfam family "Bacterial small subunit ribosomal RNA", at positions 30 to 428 of the family's 1533-position model. The record is from RNAcentral.
AUUGAACGCUGGCGGCAUGCCUUACACAUGCAAGUCGAACGGCAGCACGGGAGCAAUCCUGGUGGCGAGUGGCGAACGGGUGAGUAAUGUAUCGGAACGUACCUUUCAGUGGGGGAUAACGUAGCGAAAGUUACGCUAAUACCGCAUAUUCUGUGAGCAGGAAAGCAGGGGAUCGCAAGACCUUGCGCUGAUUGAGCGGCCGAUAUCAGAUUAGCUAGUUGGUGAGGUAAAGGCUCACCAAGGCGACGAUCUGUAGCGGGUCUGAGAGGAUGAUCCGCCACACUGGAACUGAGACACGGUCCAGACUCCUACGGGAGGCAGCAGUGGGGAAUUUUGGACAAUGGGCGCAAGCCUGAUCCAGCCAUGCCGCGUGAGUGAAGAAGGCCUCGGUGUAA